AUGGAGCGAGAGAGAGAGCCCGGUUCCCUUGUGCACACAGCUCACAUGCUCGGGGCGAAGCCCGUGCUGGCGAUGUGGAGUUUAACACCCAGGUGCUGCACAACCCAGGCUCACGCGCGCUCUCCGGACGAAAUGCAAGACAUUAUUAUUGGAGACAACAAUCACAACAUGUAUUCUCUUUGUCCCCGCCCCCGCUGUUUUCUCCAUCUUUGCUGUCGGACUCUGGAAUCCAACUGGACCGCUCUGCGCUCCCCGGCGCCCGCGCAGCUUCCUAACCUGGCGCCUGGGGGCGGCCCCACAGCGCGCACGCUCUGUUCCGGAACCGCUCACGGAGGGCGCCAGGGGCUGCGAGCCGGGAAGGGGACGCCCACGGCCGGCAAGGGGGCGCUGUCCCCAGAGGCCUCUGACCCUGCGGAGCAUCGUCCCGCCCUGGAGCGACGGAUUGGGAGAGGAGGCCUGAGUCACGCACGGAGUAACCCACCACUGAAGACAGGUCCUGACUGCAGACCCCUCGGUCCUCUCCCAGUGCCACCUCCUUUCAGGGUUGCCUCUGCGGAGCCCUGCACGGGGUGGAGGGGGGCCGCUCAGUAAAUAUUUGUGGAUGGGAUUCCAGGAUCUCGUCAAGCCUUAUGACUGCCCUGUUUUAUACAGUAGGAUGUGUCUAAGCCGUAUCUUCGCACUCAUUUAUUCAUUCACUUAUUCUGCAUUUCCUGAGUGCCUCCUGUGUGCCCGCACUGAAGUGAGCGCCAGGGGAAGAGCCCUACUCACACGGAGCAGCGGGACGCGGAGCUGUCCUCUGAGCAGGGGGUUCGCGUCCGCGAGGGAUGGCCCUGAGCUCCCAGCCCGCAGCCCUUGGAGUUGAGCGCAGGCCCAGAGCCCACAGCCCCGUCUACUCUGGGGUGUCAGGGGGAGGGAACUCGGGAGCUCCCAGGCCGUGCCAAAGCCUAGAGCACGCGGGAGGGGAGGGCCGGGAUGACUCUGCUCGGAGGAGAGGAGAGAAAAUACGAGAAGGGAAUUCCGCGAGGGAAGGGCUAGAGGCGAGGGAGCGGGAAGCCAGGACACCGGAGACCAGGGUGGGAUGGGGGUAGAGGUGUGAGAAGAGAGAAAUCAGACCAGACGGCAGGGUGAAUAAGGGAGAACUGAGGACGCCGACGUGCUCUCCGAGAGCCAGGGAGCCGCGGGCCGUCGAGGGGGCCCUUGGGUGGGCAUCGCGGCGAACCCGACGCGGGAUCCAGCGCUUGCCUGCCUCUCUGGCCGCCCAAGUUGGCUGGGGGCGAGGUUGUCGCUCCUUAGGUCAUUUUAGAAAAGCAGUAGGUGUGUUCUGUCACAGGCCGGGAUUCACGGUCAAAGUCACUCGUGCCCGGCCACCCCCAGCGAAACCUGUUUGGCUUCUAUUCUCCGCAGGAUUCCACACUCGGGAGAAGCUGGCGGAGCCUGGCCCAGGGAGGCCGCGGCCAGUCGGGACAGGGGGCUGGAGUCCGGCUCCCGCACCCGGACCCGGUGACUGCGGGCGGCGCCCGCCUCCCGGCCAGCGGCACCUGAGAGGGGAGCGGGCGGGCAGAGCGGCGGUCCCGGGGCGGCGGGGCGCGGAUCCCCCGGAGGGACCUGGGAGGCGGAGGGGCGGGCCGGGGGCGGGCGCGGGGGAAGUGGCCUCCCUGCAGGUCGGAGCCGGGACGCGCCGGCCCGGGACGCAGGGAGGGGGCCCGCGUCGAGAAGGAGGGAGUGGCCGCGCCGCCUUCGAGAGUCAUUGGAGGACGCGGCCGCCCGAAGCUGAUAAAUAAGGGGCCGGGCCGCGGCUGCCGGCCAAGCUGGACGCCCCGACCGGUGCGAGGGCCAGGUCAGCGCCGGCCCGUCGACGCGAAGC
This is a long non-coding RNA of Delphinapterus leucas (beluga whale), 1864 nucleotides long. The record is from Ensembl. Lineage: Eukaryota; Metazoa; Chordata; Mammalia; Artiodactyla; Monodontidae.